This is a non-coding RNA of Potamilus streckersoni, 76 nucleotides long. Lineage: Eukaryota; Metazoa; Mollusca; Bivalvia; Unionida; Unionidae. The record is from the annotation of a GenBank genome assembly.
GACCGCUCCGGUGGCCUAGUGGUAAAGCGUCCGCCUUGGAUGCGGGAUGUCGCGGAUGCAAACCCCGGCUACGUCA